RNAcentral lists this long non-coding RNA (2557 nucleotides) under Sus scrofa (pig). RNAcentral describes it as "lncRNA (ENSSSCG00050042899.1)". The record is from RNAcentral. Lineage: Eukaryota; Metazoa; Chordata; Mammalia; Artiodactyla; Suidae.
ACACACUGAAGUUCUACAGAGCCUGUGACACACAUCUUUACUCCUCUGGCUUUGAGAAGAUUAUAGAGAGAGAGAGGUUGAGUGUUUCAGCUACUGCUGGAGAAACGUAGGGAUUUUAGCCUUUUAGCCACAGCCCUGGGCACAGAGACAGCUUCUAGAAGCUGCUCUCAGUCCUUGGCUCAAGGACCCUCUCUUCCUUCUUCAAAGCCAACAGUGUUAUAUCUCUUCAAUCCUGCUUCUGUAAGGAGAUCAACCUUUAAUCACAGCCAGGUUGCUGACCUGAAGCCAUCCAUGCAAACGGCAGCUUUCAAGGAGCUGUGGCCCUGGUGCUCAGGGCCCCCAGUGGCUGGCCAUACUCCAUUGUGAACCACCGGUAAAUGCUCAAAACUUUUGCUCCAUUCCCAGGGGACCCUCCCAUUAAAAUGAUUUUGCAUUCACUACCUGCCAACAGGACCUGUAAGCGAGCCAAAAGGAGUAGCAGAUUAAGCAUAAUUAUGAAUUCUGAAUGGAAUGGAGUAGUUGGAGAUUGUUUUCCAUGAAAGACCUAUUUUUUUCCUACUGAAAAUUCACAUAAGGAAGUAUUGAAUACUCUGUGAAGUCUUUAUAUUUAAACGUGCCCCUUGCAAUUAAUGCUUCUCCCUGCGCUUUCAUGACACAGAGAGAAAACCUCCCAAACUUGAAAGCUGUUCUUAGAAUUAGUUUUGGGUUUGCUCAAGAUUUGUAUCUAAUCAGCAUUGAAUUUUCUAGAUAAGUAUUUUAACAUUUAUUAACAAGAAUCGGUACCAAAUGCAUUUCCCAGGCUUAGUUGUCAAUGGAUGGAUAAUCCCUCAGGAUUUAAAAACCUGCACAACUGAGUAAGGAUUCAAAGACUUCUUGCAGGCAUUUCUUGAGUGUUUAAUGUGUCCUCAUCAGGAAAAAGUCAGUUGUACCAUUUAUUCGUUUGUCUUUUCUUUUUCACAAAUAGAAAAAGGAAAAUCCAAGAUGCUGAACAUAAAAAUAUUGCCCUGCCUGAAGACACAUCAGUUUACUACCAUGAAUGGGACAACUUUUCCUGAUUUGAUAUAAAAUUACUAACAAAACUCACCAUUGUUUUUCUCAGGUUGGCCCUAUCUUUUUCCCUCUUCUAAAUAUCUGUACCUACAUGUAGGAGCAGCAUUCAUGAUUUAUUUAUGUCUGUCUAAAUAUGCUACUUAUCUUUCCUAAAGUGUGUUAUCAACUAUCAAAUACCGUUAAAAAAGUAAGAUCAGAAGUUGUGUGAAUUCAAGAGUUCCUAUUGUGGCUCAGAGGGUUAAGAAUCCAGCUAGUGCUCUUAGGAUGUAGGCUUGAUCCUUGGCCAUGCUCAGUGGGUUAAAGGAUCUGGCUUUCCCGUGAGCCAUAGUGUAGGCUGCAGAAGUGGCUCGGAUUCUGUGUUGCUGUUGCUGUGGCGUAGGCCGGCAGCUGCAUCUCCAAUUCAGCCCCUAACCCAGGAAUUUCUGGAUGCUGGGGGUGCAGCCCUAAAAAGACAAAAAAAUAAAACAAACAAAAAACCCAAAAAAAGUUUUGGGAAUUCAAGUAAAAAUAUUGAAUUUUUUAGCAAGCCUAACAGAAAGCUGGAAAAUGAUAAUGAUAAUUAUACAACAAUAACACUCAUCUCAGCUGGAUAUUACCAUGGAUGUACAAUGUGUCAGACACCAAGUUUUCCACACCUAUUAUCUCUGAAAUCAUCAUCAACCUGUAUGGGAGAUACUGCUAUUAUCUUUAUAGAUAAAGAAACUGAAGCCUAGGGAGUUUAAGUUAGUUUUCUAAGAAUGAGAAGCAGUUUUUGGCCAGAGGCUGAAAUUUGAAUCCUGACAUACAUAUGUUCCAUGGAUACUAAAUAUAUAUAUUUUUAAAAAGUGUUUAAUUGCUUUCAGAGUAAGCUUAUAGAACAUGAAAAGUCAGUCUCAUGUCUUUCUAAUCAUCUUUAUAAAAAACUCUCUGGUUUCUUACAUUCUUGAAGAUUAUUUAAAUUUAUCCAUUUUAUGUGGUUUAAAGGCAACAAAUGCAUUUUGUUAAAAGAAAACAUAAAUAUUUAUUUUAAGCUGCACAGAGCCCAAAGCCCAGUCGAGUUAAAUUUUCACUUUUAUUCAAUUGCAUAUUUGAGAGAGAAAAAUAAAACUUACUUUUAUUUAUCAUGUUAAAUCAUUGAUAUGGUACAUUAAUAAUUAAUAAAACUUUUUUUGAUUGUUGACAAAAUUAUGUUUAACAAUUUUUGUUAUUUUUAUAAAAAUAUUUACUGAAGAAAUUUAUGUAAGAUAAGAACAAAAUACAGGAAGAUGUAUUCUGCCCUCAUGUAAUCCAUCAGUGCCUCCUCAUAAAUCCAACACCCCAUAGAAUUAAUAGUUCAUGUUUUUAACAAUGAUGGAAGUAUUUUUUUUUUUUUUGCAAGACAAUUAUAUUGCUUCCUUGCUUGCUGAUAUUUGGUUAUUUAAGUGGGUAAAAACAGUAUAUACUCAAUCCUACAUUUAUGCUGAGUACUUAUUAAAUGCAAGAACCCUUAUUUGUCCAAAUUUUGUUACUGUUCUUAAACUGCAAAAAA